RNAcentral lists this ribosomal RNA (874 nucleotides) under Aspergillus peyronelii. RNAcentral describes it as "LSU rRNA". It matches the Rfam family "Eukaryotic large subunit ribosomal RNA", at positions 79 to 969 of the family's 3401-position model. The record is from RNAcentral. Lineage: Eukaryota; Fungi; Ascomycota; Eurotiomycetes; Eurotiales; Aspergillaceae.
AUCAGUAACGGCGAGUGAAGCGGCAAGAGCUCAAAUUUGAAAGCUGGCCCCUUCGGGGUCCGCGUUGUAAUUUGCAGAGGAUGCUUCGGGUGCGGCCCCUGUCUAAGUGCCCUGGAACGGGCCGUCAGAGAGGGUGAGAAUCCCGUCUUGGGCAGGGUGCCCGUGCCCGUGUGAAGCUCCUUCGACGAGUCGAGUUGUUUGGGAAUGCAGCUCUAAAUGGGUGGUAAAUUUCAUCUAAAGCUAAAUACCGGCCGGAGACCGAUAGCGCACAAGUAGAGUGAUCGAAAGAUGAAAAGCACUUUGAAAAGAGAGUUAAACAGCACGUGAAAUUGUUGAAAGGGAAGCGCUUGCGACCAGACUCGGCCCCGGGGUUCAGCCAGCAUUCGUGCUGGUGUACUUCCCCGGGGGCGGGCCAGCGUCGGUUUGGGCGGCCGGUCAAAGGCCCCAGGAAUGUAUCGCCCUCCGGGGUUGUCUUAUAGCCUGGGGUGCAAUGCGGCCAGCCCGGACCGAGGAACGCGCUUCGGCACGGACGCUGGCGUAAUGGUCGCAAACGACCCGUCUUGAAACACGGACCAAGGAGUCUAACAUCUACGCGAGUGUUCGGGUGUCAAACCCGUACGCGCAGUGAAAGCGAACGGAGGUGGGAGCCCCCCCGGGGCGCACCAUCGACCGAUCCUGAUGUCUUCGGAUGGAUUUGAGUAAGAGCGUAGCUGUGGGGACCCGAAAGAUGGUGAACUAUGCCUGAAUAGGGCGAAGCCAGAGGAACUCUGGUGGAGGCUCGCAGCGGUUCUGACGUGCAAAUCGAUCGUCAAAUUUGGGUAUAGGGGCGAAAGACUAAUCGAACCCAUCUGGUAGCUGGUUCCUGCCGAAGUUG